Molecule: ribosomal RNA, 773 nt
Filed under: uncultured Neocallimastigales
Lineage: Eukaryota; Fungi; Neocallimastigomycota; Neocallimastigomycetes; Neocallimastigales
Description: partial large subunit ribosomal RNA
Rfam family: Eukaryotic large subunit ribosomal RNA
Source: RNAcentral
UAUCUCUGUAGAGUCUGCAUAUCAAUAAGCGGAGGAAAAGAAACUAACAAGGAUUCCCUUAGUAACGGCGAGUGAAGCGGGAAGAGCUCAAAUUUGAAAUCUUCAAGGUUCUACCUUGACGAAUUGUAGUUUAAAGAAGUGUUUUCUGUUAGAUGAGUAGCAAAAGUUCCUUGGAAUGGGACAUCAUAGAGGGUGAGAAUCCCGUAUUUGGUUAUUCAUUCUAGCUUUGUGAUACACUUUCAAAGAGUCGGAUUGUUUGGGAAUGCAGUCCAAAAUAGGUGGUAAAUUUCAUCUAAAGCUAAAUAUUGGCGAGAGACCGAUAGCGAACAAGUACCGUGAGGGAAAGAUGAAAAGAACUUUGAAAAGAGAGUUAAACAGUACGUGAAAUUGUCAAAAGGGAAGCGUUUGACACCAGUGUUGUUUUUCCGAAAAUCAAUUACGAAUGGCUUGAUUUUGUGUUGUAUUGACCUUAUCAGCUUUCUUCACUUUUUUCGAGUCUUUCUUAAUGCACUUUUCGGUUAACAAGUCAACAUCAAUUUCUUUUGUUGUAAAAGAGUAUUCGGAAGGUGGCUUUCUUUUCGGAGAAAGUGUUUAUAGCCCUAUACUUCUACAAUCGGAGAGAUUGAGGUCUGCAGCGUAGAUCCUUCGGGGUUAGAUACACUUGUGCUAAGUUGUAGCUUUUCAUAGACAACUUGUUGACUAUGUUUAGUCAUGCGGCUUACUCGCUUGUGCUAUUUUACCUACGCUUAGGAUGUUGACUGAUAUGUAGUCGU